CCUACGGGCGGCAGCAGUGAGGAAUAUUGGUCAAUGGACGCAAGUCUGAACCAGCCAUGCCGCGUGCAGGAAGACGGCUCUAUGAGUUGUAAACUGCUUUUGUACGAGGGUAAACGCAGAUACGCGUAUCUGUCUGAAAGUAUCGUACGAAUAAGGAUCGGCUAACUCCGUGCCACCAGCCGCGGUAAUACGGAGGAUUCAAGCGUUAUCCGGAUUUAUUGGGGUUAAAGGGUGCGUAGGCGGUCGGAUAAGUUAGAGGUGAAAUCCCGAGGCUCAACUUCGGAAUUGCCUCUGAUACUGUCCGGCUAGAGAGUAGUUGCGGUAGGCGGAAUGUAUGGUGUAGCGGUGAAAUGCUUAGAGAUCAUACAGAACACCGAUUGCGAAGGCAGCUUACCAAGCUACUUCUGACGUUGAGGCACGAAAGCGUGGGGAGCAAACAGGAUUAGAUACCCGAGUAGUC
This 460-nucleotide ribosomal RNA is filed under the name uncultured bacterium. RNAcentral's name for it is "partial 16S ribosomal RNA". It matches the Rfam family "Bacterial small subunit ribosomal RNA", at positions 338 to 795 of the family's 1533-position model. The record is from RNAcentral.